This 21-nucleotide microRNA is filed under the name Caenorhabditis elegans. RNAcentral's name for it is "cel-miR-8205-5p". The record is from miRBase by way of RNAcentral. Lineage: Eukaryota; Metazoa; Nematoda; Chromadorea; Rhabditida; Rhabditidae.
UGGCAGACUUCGUUGAGGCUA